CUACGGGUUGCUGCAGUAGGGAAUUUUGCGCAAUGGACGAAAGUCUGACGCAGCAACGCCGCGUGAGUGACGACGCCUUUAGGGGUGUAAAGCUCUGUCAGUAGGGACGAAUUUUGACGGUACCUACAGAGGAAGCAUCGGCUAACUACGUGCCAGCAGCCGCGGUAAGACGUAGGAUGCAAGCGUUGUCCGGAUUUAUUGGGCGUAAAGAGUUCGUAGGUGGCUUGUUAAGUCUGAUGUUAAAGCCCGAGGCUCAACCUCGGUUCGGCGUUGGAUACUGGCAAGCUAGAGUACGGUAGAGGCAAAGGGAAUUCCUAGUGUAGCGGUGAAAUGCGUAGAUAUUAGGAGGAACACCAGUGGCGAAAGCGCUUUGCUGGGCCGUAACUGACGCUGAGGAACGAAAGCCAGGGUAGCGAAUGGGAUUAGAUACCCGAGUAGUC
RNAcentral lists this ribosomal RNA (440 nucleotides) under uncultured bacterium. RNAcentral describes it as "partial 16S ribosomal RNA". It matches the Rfam family "Bacterial small subunit ribosomal RNA", at positions 339 to 795 of the family's 1533-position model. The record is from RNAcentral.